AGGUACAAGUGGAUAUAUUUUCAACUGAAACACAUUUUGUUCUGAGAGAGUAGCUGUGUUCCUUUGCAAAAGAAGAAAUCUAUCUUUCAGCCGUCCAUCAAAAAUACUCUGAUCAAAACUACAAAAAUGCUUCUUCCACAGGACCAGAGCUCAACAUCAUCCAUAGCAAUAUGACAGCUACAGUAACAAAGACCUUCAGGAGUAUUACCAGAAAGUUUGGAGUCUGCUAGCAAUUGAGUGACUUUUCUGCAUAUUAUACUUGUAUUUUCCUUUGAUAAAACAAUAUUAAAAUAAUCCAUUUUGGAGUGUGAAGCAAUGAAUUGUAACUGAAGAUAUGGUGCAAGAAGAUAAUUAACUAUUUUUGAUGUUAAAACAUUUGUUGAAGUGAUGAUAAAAAUAGAAGAGCAUUACUGCCCACUCUGAGUGUAUGCAAUCAAAAGGCACCUGCAUGACUCUGGAUUUUAAAUUGAACAUGGAAUCAAAUAAUAA
Tympanuchus pallidicinctus (lesser prairie-chicken) is the source of this 489-nucleotide long non-coding RNA. RefSeq lists it as uncharacterized. The transcript is spliced from 3 exons. NCBI's taxonomy places the organism in Eukaryota, Metazoa, Chordata, Aves, Galliformes, Phasianidae. The record is from RefSeq and is a predicted model, not a curated record.